Molecule: long non-coding RNA, 86 nt
Organism: Cervus elaphus (red deer)
Lineage: Eukaryota; Metazoa; Chordata; Mammalia; Artiodactyla; Cervidae
Exons: 3
Source: RefSeq, a predicted model, not a curated record
CCCCCUUGGCAACCACAAGUCUGUUCUCUAUGUCUGUGAGUCGGUUUCUGGUUUGUAGAUAUGUUCAUUGGUGUUAUUUCUGGAUA